CCUUUUAUAUGCUAACUAAUCUUUACAAUCUGUACCAACAUUAAACCGAAGUAUAUAAUUUUCAUAACCGGAUUGAACCAAGUAUCCUAAUAUAGUUUUUGUUUGGUGAAUGUGUUGAAUCAUUUCAUUUGUAUAGAAAGAAGAAAACAAAUUAGGAAACAGGAAUUGGGAAGGGUAAAAAAAGGAAUUCAGCAAGCUAACCGUGAUGACGUGAGAACGAGACGACGUCAAAACGCAACACGUCAUCACUUGCCGGCAGACGAAAUAUAAUCGCCUAGAUGACUGCCACGUGUACCUGCGCCCUCUGUAUCACAGAGAUGGUUUUGGAUAAGGUGUAGUGUAUACAUUUAAAUAAAUUUAUUAGAAACAUGUUUUUGUGUUUUGCUUUUCUUUCUUUACUUAUCUUUUUAAUCUUCUAGAACAACUGUACCUUUUGGUAAAUGUCCCCCGUAAAACUAUAUAUUUAUACUAACUAAAUUUAGAGUAUUUUUUCUAAAAAAAGUUAACAUAUAACAGAGACAAAAUAAAUAUACUUAAAUCAUCUCGAUUAUAUGUAUUUAUAAAUAAACACAUUAUUUUAAAGUCAUGAUCAGAGUAAAUGAAUUGAUUGGCCAAUAAGAGGAAAAGGCAAGUCAUAAUCAAGGAAAGUGAAGUAAGCAAGUUGAAAUGAAACGAGUACAACAAAAUUGGUUUCUAUAAGUCAAUGUCAAUGAAAGGGCCCAUUGAGAUGCAAAUACCUUAUCGGGUCCAAAAAUGUAUAAAAUUGAUAGGUAAAUGGCUUCGCGAGCGUUCCUUCGUU
RNAcentral lists this long non-coding RNA (799 nucleotides) under Capsella rubella. RNAcentral's name for it is "long non-coding RNA (CRUB_LNC004452)". The record is from RNAcentral. Lineage: Eukaryota; Viridiplantae; Streptophyta; Magnoliopsida; Brassicales; Brassicaceae.